This is a long non-coding RNA of Onychostruthus taczanowskii (white-rumped snowfinch), 672 nucleotides long. RefSeq lists it as uncharacterized. Lineage: Eukaryota; Metazoa; Chordata; Aves; Passeriformes; Passeridae. The transcript has 12 exons. The record is from RefSeq and is a predicted model, not a curated record.
CGUGAUCUGUGCUAUAUAAGGCACGGGCCGGAGCUGCUCUGCCUUUUCCGCUGCUGCCGCCAUGUGUGUGCGGUGGGUCUCGUGUGGCCCCUCCGUUCAACGUGUAUCAGCUACACUCCUCCUUCCUGUGGCUUCAGUGCAGAUCUGCCCCCAAAUGUGGAGACCUAAUACUUCCUCUUCCCAAGGAUUUGCAUCCUGCACUUCAGAGGAAUGCAGAAGGAACAGCACCUGGCACUGGGAGAUGAAACUGUGAGCUGUUACAGGGUUGCCCUCAACAGAGCCCCAUGCCUCUUGUGUGAAAAACCACUCCACCUGUUACUGAUGUGGGUGAAGACAAGGCCUUCCUAAUUCAAGGCUUCCAGAUGUUUCUCAUUGUGAGGUGUGAUGGAGCUGGGAAGUGAGGGACCUGGUAGUGCUGCCAGCAAAAGGUGAAGCUUGCAUGGAGUUUGAGAAACAAGAUGGAUGUGCCUGAGGAAAGGACUGUUGCUGUGUUUGCAGCCUUACUGGGUGAAGAGGCAGCUCAAACUAGCAUAUGAAGAACUGAGAAUGUGGAAGAUUGCUGAUGAAUGGGUUACACUUGCAUGAACAGCAUUAAAAAAGCCAAUGUGUUUUUACCCCACUGGUCAUGUUUGCCUGAUAUUGAUUGGUGUGAAUAAAAAUCUGUAAACUCUA